UACGUAGGGUGCAAGCGUUAAUCGGAAUUACUGGGCGUAAAGCGUGCGCAGGCGGUUCUAUAAGACAGAUGUGAAAUCCCCGGGCUCAACCUGGGAACUGCAUUUGUGACUGUAGAGCUGGAGUACGGUAGAGGGGGAUGGAAUUCCGGGUGUAGUGGUGAAAUGCGUAGAUAUUGGGAGGAACACCAGUGGCGAAGGCGGCUCACUGGACCGGAACUGACGCUGAGACGCGAAAGCGUGGGGAGCGAACAGG
This 253-nucleotide ribosomal RNA is filed under the name uncultured bacterium. RNAcentral describes it as "partial 16S ribosomal RNA". It matches the Rfam family "Bacterial small subunit ribosomal RNA", at positions 524 to 776 of the family's 1533-position model. The record is from RNAcentral.